RNAcentral lists this ribosomal RNA (457 nucleotides) under Clinocentrus politus. RNAcentral describes it as "eukaryotic LSU rRNA". The record is from RNAcentral. Lineage: Eukaryota; Metazoa; Arthropoda; Insecta; Hymenoptera; Braconidae.
GAAACCCAAAAGAUCGAAUGGGGAGAUUCAUCGUCAGCUCAUUUUGUAUAUGUAUGAGUUAUGAUGCGGGUUAUCUACUUGUAGUAUUGCCUGUACAUUCUUGUGCAUUUUGUUGCAAGAUGUUGUCGGCGUGCACUUCUCCCCUAGUAGGACGUCGCGACCCGUUGAGAGUUGGUCUACGGCCCAAGUGGUAGCCUGUAAUGUUUAAAAUCGUUGCAGACCCUUGGUGUUUUCUGACCAACUACUCGGCGGUACACGUACGGUAUUAAGCCGCACAUUUUAUGCGUCCAUGCCCGUCGCAAGCGAGGCCAAUUUCUGGUAGUACGGACCUAGUGCCGUCGCUGGUAUUGGCCAGCUGUUGGUUGUACGGUGUUCUGGGACUGGCUUAAAUUAAUUACCGGUCGGCGACGCUACUGCUUUGGGUACUUUCAGGACCCGUCUUGAAACACGGACCAAA